AACGAACGCUGGCGGCGCGUCUUAAGCAUGCAAGUCGAACGGCAAGAGAGGAGCUUGCUUCUCUCCUAGAGUGGCGGACUGGUGAGGAACACGUGGGUAAUCUACCCUUAAGAUGGGGAUAGCUGCUAGAAAUAGCAGAUAAUACCGAAUACACUCAGUGCUUCACAAGAGGUAUUGAGGAAAAGAAGCUACGGCUUCGCUUGAGGAUGAGCUUGCGUCCCAUUAGCUUGUUGGUGAGGUAAAGGCCCACCAAGGCGACGAUGGGUAUCCGGCCUGAGAGGGUGACGACACAUUGGGACUGAGAUACGGCCCAAACUCCUACGGAGGCAGCAGCUAAGAAUAUUCCGCAAUGGACGGAAGUCUGACGGAGCGACGCCGCGUGGAUGAAGAAGGCUGAAAAGUUGUAAAAUCCUUUUGUUGAUGAAGAAUAAGGGGGAGAGGGAAUGCUUCUCUGAUGACGGUAAUCAGCGAAUAAGCCCCG
RNAcentral lists this ribosomal RNA (481 nucleotides) under Treponema sp. 1:3:3105. RNAcentral's name for it is "bacterial SSU rRNA". It matches the Rfam family "Bacterial small subunit ribosomal RNA", at positions 29 to 495 of the family's 1533-position model. Lineage: Bacteria; Pseudomonadati; Spirochaetota; Spirochaetia; Treponematales; Treponemataceae. The record is from RNAcentral. RNAcentral also lists the same sequence under 1 other name.